GACGAACGCUGGCGGCGUGCUUAAUACAUGCAAGUCGAGCGGACAGACGCGGCGUUUGCUGUACUCACGUUAGCAACGGGCGGGUGAGACACGCGUGGUUAGCCCACCUCUAAGACUGAGACCUCUUCGAGAAAGUGGAGCUACUGCCAGGUAACAUUUUGAAUCUGAUGGUUGAAUAGUGAAUGACGUUUAUGCUGUCACCUCUAGAUAGAUGCGCGCCGCAUUAGUAAGUUGGUAAGGUAACGGCUUACGAUGGCAACGAUGCGUAGCCGACCUGAGAGGGUGAACGGCCACACUGAGACUGAGACACGGUCCAGACUCCUACGGGAGGCAGCAGUAGGGAAUCGUCCGAGAUGUGCGAAAGCCUGACGGAGCAACGCCGCGUGAGUGAUGAAGGUCUUCGUAUCGUAAAACUCUGUUAUUAGGGAAGAACAAAUGUGUAAGUAACUAUGCACGUCUUGACGGUACCUAAUCAGAAAGCCACGGCUAACUACGUG
This 497-nucleotide ribosomal RNA is filed under the name uncultured bacterium. RNAcentral's name for it is "partial 16S ribosomal RNA". It matches the Rfam family "Bacterial small subunit ribosomal RNA", at positions 28 to 507 of the family's 1533-position model. The record is from RNAcentral.